RNAcentral lists this non-coding RNA (221 nucleotides) under Clostridium novyi. RNAcentral describes it as "T-box sequence". The stretch from base 1 to 171 matches the Rfam family "T-box leader". From Rfam's summary of the family: Uncharged tRNA acts as the effector for transcription antitermination of genes in the T-box leader family. T-boxes are found upstream of many aminoacyl-tRNA synthetase genes and some amino acid biosynthetic genes usually in Gram-positive bacteria. Lineage: Bacteria; Bacillati; Bacillota; Clostridia; Eubacteriales; Clostridiaceae. The record is from RNAcentral.
UUAAUAACUAUGAACAGGAAAAGUAUUUAAGAUAUAUGCUUACAGAGAGUAGGGGAUGAUGGGAACCCUAUAGCUAAACCUUAAAGAAAAUCACCUGGGAGUUGAAAACUGAAAAGGCUUUUUGCUGAGUAAGUUUAUCCGUGAUUUCGCGUUAAGAAAUAGAGUAUGUUAGUACUUGAAGUGUGAAUUUUCAUAGGUGGUUAUUAUGCUACGUCCUUAUG